AACGAACGCUGGCGGCAGGCCUAACACAUGCAAGUCGAGCGAGGGAGCAAUCUCUAGCGGCGGACGGGUGAGUAACGCGUGGGAACGUGCCCCUUGGUACGGAAUAGCCCCGGGAAACUGGGAGUAAUACCGUAUAAGCUCUACGGAGGAAAGAUUUAUCGCCAAGGGAUCGGCCCGCGUUGGAUUAGGUAGUUGGUGGGGUAAUGGCCUACCAAGCCGACGAUCCAUAGCUGGUUUGAGAGGAUGAUCAGCCACACUGGGACUGAGACACGGCCCAGACUCCUACGGGAGGCAGCAGUGGGGAAUCUUAGACAAUGGGGGAAACCCUGAUCUAGCCAUGCCGCGUGAUCGAUGAAGGCCUUAGGGUUGUAAAGAUCUUUCAGUGGGGAAGAUAAUGACUGUACCCACAGAAGAAGCCCCGGCUAACUCCGUG
Molecule: ribosomal RNA, 433 nt
Filed under: uncultured bacterium
Lineage: Bacteria
Description: bacterial SSU rRNA
Rfam family: Bacterial small subunit ribosomal RNA
Source: RNAcentral